Molecule: long non-coding RNA, 1374 nt
Organism: Coffea arabica (coffee)
Lineage: Eukaryota; Viridiplantae; Streptophyta; Magnoliopsida; Gentianales; Rubiaceae
Source: RefSeq, a predicted model, not a curated record
UUUCCUUUGUUUUCUCUUAGCUUUCUUCUUCUUCUUAGCUUCCAUUCUUCUUCUUAGUUUUAUUUGGCAGCUUCGGAACCGAUUACCUUCUUUGCAUUCUCCGUUAUCCUCUCUGUGCGCCCGCCCCUUGCUUUCACCAUCCUCUCUGUCCUUCUGUCCUCUUAAUGAGUUUAUCCCUUUGAGAAAUUUUCCUCUUCCCUUUCACCCUCCUAAUCCAACAAAAAUUCUAUAUCCAAACCGCUUCUCAUGGAAUCUAUUAUAGCAAAAUUCAUAAUGCAGGCUAUAGUGUUAUUUUUGUUGUGGUUCAUGAAUUAGGCAUGGAGGUUAUAGACCCAUUCCAUGGCAGGGCAACUCGGAUGGCAGAUCUGAGGUUGGAACAAAUUUAAUAGUUUCCCUCACUUGCAUGCAACUAGGUUGCGGCCAUGCAAUUGCAAAUAUGAUAUAUUGAAGGGACUAAACACGUUGCAGGCCUUCCCUACUCACAUUGCAGAGAAAAGAUCAUACUUGUAGACAAGGAGAAUGAUCCUUUAUCUUGCUGUAAAACAUGCUUCAAUUGUUUUGAUAUUUGGAAAUGCAAUGACAGUUUCUUGCUUUCACAGUUUUUUUUUUUUUGGGAACAAUUUUGCUCUUAUGAGCUGCACAUGGAUCGACUAACUCUACAAGGAAGUUUGUUCCUUGCUUAUGAUUAAGUAUAUGUGAUUACAAUACUACUGCAACUUUUAUGCAGAAAUGAAAACAUUUCAUAUUUUACGAAGGCUGUCACACAGUAUCCUUUACCAGAUCUUGUAAGCUCGGUUCCAACUAUUGAGCUUCAGUGAAAUUCACUUCUGUCCGCGUGGGGCUCUUGGAUGGAACCUUGCACCAAUUACAGCCACACAAAUAGAGUUCAAGGGAACCUUGCACUCUGCUACAAGCGGCUGCCCAGUUGUUUUUUGAAUUCUUAGAAUGGUUAGAGGGUCCUUUUAGUUUUGCCUAAUUUUAAGCAUUCCUUACUGAUUAAUGCUAUAUUAAGAUGUUAGAUAACCUGAUUUCAAGGUCAUGUUUAUCUGUGUAAUUAGGAAAAAACACACACUCACACGCAUGACUACUAUAUCUCCUGAAGAUGCAUGCUAUAGUAUUGUAGUUCCUUUGUAAUUUAUUUGUUCUUUGUACCUUUUUUGUUUGAGUCAUUGUUGCCCCUUGUGAUCCGGAGAGGUGGGCCACCUUAGCUAUUUAUGAGUAUUAGUUUAGCCUUAGGUGUUUGCCAUAUUUUCCAAUCAUGCCAUUUAAUUUUCCCUUCAUUCAACAUGUAUGUUAUAUUUGCUUGGUUGUUUUGCAAUUUUGUUAUUUUUUAACCCUAAUUUUUGUUGACUUAUUGUUCUCUUUUGUGGACAG